This 654-nucleotide ribosomal RNA is filed under the name Escherichia coli. RNAcentral describes it as "partial 23S ribosomal RNA". It matches the Rfam family "Bacterial large subunit ribosomal RNA", at positions 818 to 1476 of the family's 2925-position model. The record is from RNAcentral. Lineage: Bacteria; Pseudomonadati; Pseudomonadota; Gammaproteobacteria; Enterobacterales; Enterobacteriaceae.
AGGGUGGAAAGCUAAUCAAGCCUGGUGAAAGCAGGAUCUCCCCGAGAGCUAUAGAGGUAGCGGCUCGGAAGAAUACCAUAGGGGGUAGAGCACUGUUUCGGCUAGGGGGUCAUCACGACUUACCAAACCGAUGCAAACUCCGAAUACCUAUGAGUACUAUCCGGGAGACAGACUGCGGGUGCUAACGUCCGUAGUCAAGAGGAAAACAAUCCAGACCGCCAGCUAAGGCCCCAAAAUCAUAGUUAAGUGGGAAACGAUGUGGGAAGGCAUAGACAGCUAGGAGGUUGGCUUAGAAGCAGCCACCCUUUAAAGAAAGCGUAAUAGCUCACUAGUCGAGUCGGCCUGCGCGGAAGAUGUAACGGGGCUAAAACUAUGUGCCGAAGCUGCGGAUGUAUACUUUGUAUACGUGGUAGGGGAGCGUUCUGUAAGCCGAUGAAGGUGUGUUGAGAAGCAUGCUGGAGGUAUCAGAAGUGCGAAUGCUGACGUGAGUAACGACAAAACGGGUGAAAAACCCGUUCGCCGAAAGACCAAGGGUUCCAGUCCAACGUUAAUCAGGGCUAAUGAAGUCGCACCCUAAAGCGAGGCCGAAAGACGUAGUCGAUGGGAAAAUAGUUAAAAUUCCAUAACUUCUGUUUAAAGCGAUGAGAGGACGGA